GAUGAACGCUGGCGGCGUGCUUAACACAUGCAAGUCGAACGGUGAAGGCGGAGCUUGCUCUGCUGGAUCAGUGGCGAACGGGUGAGUAACACGUGAGCAAUCUGCCCCUGACUCUGGGAUAAGCGCUGGAAACGGCGUCUAAUACUGGAUACGAGCUGCGAAGGCAUCUUCAGCAGCUGGAAAGAACUUCGGUCAGGGAUGAGCUCGCGGCCUAUCAGCUUGUUGGUGAGGUAACGGCUCACCAAGGCGUCGACGGGUAGCCGGCCUGAGAGGGUGACCGGCCACAAUGGGACUGAGACACGGCCCAGACUCCUACGGGAGGCAGCAGUGGGGAAUAUUGCACAAUGGGAGAAAGCCUGAUGCAGCAACGCCGCGUGAGGGAAGACGGCCUUCGGGUUGUAAACCUCUUUUAGCAGGGAAGAAGCGAAAGUGACGGUACCUGCAGAAAAAGCGCCGGCUAACUACGUG
RNAcentral lists this ribosomal RNA (468 nucleotides) under uncultured bacterium. RNAcentral describes it as "partial 16S ribosomal RNA". It matches the Rfam family "Bacterial small subunit ribosomal RNA", at positions 28 to 507 of the family's 1533-position model. The record is from RNAcentral.